AAGAACAAAGGCUACCGUUAAUGUUACAUGGCAUGUCGUGGAUAAAGAGAGUGGAAUUCGUCGUUGUGAGUGUGGGGCUGGAUUUUUUCCGUUCUCAGCAUCCACAGUAUCUUUAAGAAAGAGCGACACGGCCACGGGUUGUGUCUUUUCAAAUCUUGAGAUUCGACAUGGAACACGAUUGUUCAUCACUACAGAAUGUACUAAUGGUGUUGGACUUCGAGAAACAAAAACACACGGUCCCAUAAUAAUAUCUAUCAAU
Long non-coding RNA from Saccostrea echinata, 259 nucleotides. RefSeq lists it as uncharacterized. The record is from RefSeq and is a predicted model, not a curated record. NCBI's taxonomy places the organism in Eukaryota, Metazoa, Mollusca, Bivalvia, Ostreida, Ostreidae. The transcript has 2 exons.